CCUACGGGAGGCAGCAGUGGGGAAUAUUGGACAAUGGGCGAAAGCCUGAUCCAGCCAUGCCGCGUGUGUGAAGAAGGCCUUCGGGUUGUAAAGCACUUUCAGUGGGGAAGAAAGCCUUGGGGCUAAUACCCUCGAGGAAGGACAUCACCCACAGAAGAAGCACCGGCUAACUCCGUGCCAGCAGCCGCGGUAAUACGGAGGGUGCGAGCGUUAAUCGGAAUUACUGGGCGUAAAGCGCGCGUAGGCGGUCUGAUAAGCCGGUUGUGAAAGCCCCGGGCUCAACCUGGGAACGGCAUCCGGAUCUGUCAGGCUAGAGUGCAGGAGAGGAAGGUAGAAUUCCCGGUGUAGCGGUGAAAUGCGUAGAGAUCGGGAGGAAUACCAGUGGCGAAGGCGGCCUUCUGGACUGACACUGACGCUGAGGUGCGAAAGCGUGGGUAGCAAACAGGAUUAGAUACCCGAGUAGUC
This 465-nucleotide ribosomal RNA is filed under the name Vreelandella stevensii. RNAcentral describes it as "partial 16S ribosomal RNA". It matches the Rfam family "Bacterial small subunit ribosomal RNA", at positions 338 to 795 of the family's 1533-position model. Lineage: Bacteria; Pseudomonadati; Pseudomonadota; Gammaproteobacteria; Oceanospirillales; Halomonadaceae. The record is from RNAcentral.